This is a long non-coding RNA of Cyprinus carpio carpio, 1298 nucleotides long. Lineage: Eukaryota; Metazoa; Chordata; Actinopteri; Cypriniformes; Cyprinidae. The record is from Ensembl.
AAUUUUAUAUAUAUAAUAUAAAGAAUUAUAAUUUUCAAGGAAAUUAAGCCUUGUUUUUUAAAUGUUAUACAUAAAUGUUAUAGAAUACUUCAUGAUUAUUUACAUGUUUCUCUAUUACUGUACAGUGAUUUUAAACAAUAUAUUUUUUAAUGCUUUAAUACAAUAAUUGUACUUUAAAAAUAAGCAUACAUUUAGAGCAAUACAGCAGAUUCUUUACCAUUUAAAUAAAUAUUAUAAUUUUUUUUCCAUUAUGGUUGGGGAGAAUUAUAAUUCUAAAUAAAUAAUAAUGGUCCGAAAAUAGGCUUCAUUCAACACAAUUAAAUUUUUUCUUCUGGUUGUGGGGUGACGUGUUAUUGGCAGGCUUUGUGAGUUUCAAUUAAUGAUCCAAAGCAAGAAAGCUUUCUAUACUCUCUCCUUCUCAUCCGCUUUUCUGCAGAAUCCGGUCUGUGCUACAGUACAUUUUGUUCUUGCUCUUCAGAUCUUUAUCAGCUGUUUUUUCUUCAUUUUUCUAUCAAGCCCUCAAUACCACGAACUGUUUCACCACCUCUCUUUGGCAAGGAGUAUGCAACCACAUUCUACACUCUAUAAGUAUAUACAUAUUUUAAACAUGAUAUGAAAGUGUGAACUGUACCUGUGUAUCACUACCUCGCAUUGCAUUGUGGACUGUGUGUUCCAGGUGGACUGUUUUUUGGGGGGGGGUUUAUGAUUGGAUGGUGUCGGAGUAGCAUUGAGCAGAUGGAGUUAGAUUAUUCAGUUACUUAAUUACUUGUGUCCUUGACAUGCAUGUCCACCAAUCAGUGAUGUGCUCAAUUCAAUCAGCAGAGUAUUGUUUAAAUGAAUAUGCUGCUUUGCAGAUGACCCAGAAUGUCCUUUUAUAAUUAUAAAACACUUGUUUUGUGCAAAUACAUUGUUUCUAACAUGAUUUGUAAUAUGUACAGAUUAAAUUUCAUAUAACUGACUCGAUCAGAAAAAAAAAACAGCUGCAUUGUCUGGUAAUGAAUUGCUUACUCCAAACAGGCCCUGUAUUGCACCACUUUGCUUUAGAGUCACAUCUUAGGUCCCUCAAAGGUCAACUGAUGAAUGUAUGUCUUCUCUCUAUACUGUUGUUAUUAAGAGACGUAUAAGAGCACUGUAAUCUCCUGGGCUUCACCCGCAGCUACUUUAACCAUUUCAUCACGGCUUUCUGAUCAAACUUUCUAGUUACUUUGCAUGUAGCGAUAUGCAUAUUAAAUUAUAUCAACUGUAUAUUUGAUCCUUUUUUUUAGGAAAAAAAAUAAAGUUAAUGUUUCAAUCCACUA